This 200-nucleotide unclassified non-coding RNA is filed under the name fungal sp. Its description in RNAcentral is "partial internal transcribed spacer 2". Lineage: Eukaryota; Fungi. The record is from RNAcentral.
UUAAGUUCAGCGGGUAUCCCUACCUAAUCCGAGGUCAAUCAUUAUAAAAGUGGGGGGUGAUAGCGAGCGCUCCCAGGGCUCCAUAGCGACGUGUUUACUACGCUUAGAGCCUGACAGCACUGCCACUGAUUUUAAGGGCUGCCUUGACGGCAGGCCCCAACACCAAGCUAGGCUUGAGGGGUGAUAAUGACGCUCGAAUA